CUUUCGCGUCUCUACGUCUAUUAUUUUCUUCCAGGCUGUUUUUGAGGGGAAGAGAUGGACGAGAAGAAGCUGUUUACCAUCAUUCUACUCAGGCUCAUUUAACCGCGUUGGAAUGCGGCUUGAACUUGCGAUCAAAGACAUACAACAUCCGAGAGGUAGUACAUAUUUUCUCAUCAUAAGUCUGAAUUGCAUUCAUUCAAAAAGCGGUUUUUAAAUACUGCUCAACCCAUAUGGACAUACAUGACUAGGCAAGGUGGAAAUACUAAGUGUACGGUGGACGUAUUGGUAUCUAUGAGGCGAGAUUCCAUGGUCUUCAAUCGUCUUUACUACGAAAAGGGUGUAAAAUGGAACGUUACUUUGGUGGGCAUAUUUGAUCAACAAAAAAAGAAUCGCAUAUAUGUUUCUCUCAAAGGUGGUGCGUAUAAGAUUACGGAUAAAAUCGUCCAUUUCAAUAGAGAACACCACUGUGCUGUGAUUAGGAGCUCCAUGCGCAUUACCGGUGAGCUACACAUGUAUGACUUGCGAGUUUGGAACUCAAGCACGGUAAUCGGCAAUGCUCACCCCUGUCUUCGAAGAUUCACAGAGCUGGAACCUAAAAGACAUUGUAUUUACGAAGAUUCCUGCAAGGGCCUAUUUCAUAAGAGUUCAGGAUCGCCGAAGUUGAUUCAGCAAAGUGCACAACGCCCACGGCAAAAGUUAUAGAAUAUGGCAAGCAAAAUAUAAGUUCGCUCAACAAAAUGUGUUGCGGGACUACUUGGUGAUGGUAUACUUUUCUUACUUACGUAACUAAUCAACUGCUACUUUGUAAUGUGAGACAAA
Molecule: long non-coding RNA, 819 nt
Organism: Dermacentor albipictus
Lineage: Eukaryota; Metazoa; Arthropoda; Arachnida; Ixodida; Ixodidae
Source: RefSeq, a predicted model, not a curated record